ACCGUAUUGGCUUAGUUGGAUAAAGCAACCGCCUGCUAAGCGGUAGAUCGUGGGUUCGAGUCCCACAUACGAAA
Molecule: transfer RNA, 74 nt
Rfam family: tRNA
About the family: Transfer RNA (tRNA) molecules are approximately 80 nucleotides in length.
Source: Rfam